UACGGAGGGUGCAAGCGUUGUUCGGAAUCACUGGUCGUAAAGCGCGUGUAGGCGGGGCUGCAUGUCGGGUGUGAAAGCCCCCGGCUUACCCGGGGAAUUGCGCCCGAAACUGCAGCUCUUGAGUUCGGAAGAGGGAAGCGGAAUUCCCAGUGUAGUGGUGAAAUACGUAGAUAUUGGGAGGAACACCGGAGGCGAAAGCGGCUUCCUGGGCCGACACUGACGCUGAGACGCGAGAGCGUGGGGAGCAAACAGG
Molecule: ribosomal RNA, 253 nt
Filed under: uncultured bacterium
Lineage: Bacteria
Description: partial 16S ribosomal RNA
Rfam family: Bacterial small subunit ribosomal RNA
Source: RNAcentral